RNAcentral lists this ribosomal RNA (484 nucleotides) under uncultured bacterium. Its description in RNAcentral is "bacterial SSU rRNA". It matches the Rfam family "Bacterial small subunit ribosomal RNA", at positions 33 to 507 of the family's 1533-position model. The record is from RNAcentral.
GACGACGCUGGCGGCGUGCUUAACACAUGCAAGUCGAACGGUGACGGAGAGCUUGCUCUCCUGAUCAGUGGCGAACGGGUGAGUAACACGUGGGCAAUCUGCCCCAGACUUCGGGAUAACGCUUCGAAAGAGGUGCUAAUACCGAAUACGAACGCCGUGGGCAUCCACGGUGUUGGAAAGUUUUUCGGUCUGGGAUGGGCCCGCGGCCUAUCAGCUUGUUGGUGAGGUAAUGGCUCACCAAGGCGACGACGGGUAGCCGGCCUGAGAGGGCGACCGGCCACACUGGGACUGAGACACGGCCCAGACUCCUACGGGAGGCAGCAGCUAAGAAUAUUCCGCAAUGGACGAAAGUCUGACGGAGCGACGCCGCGUGGAUGAAGAAGGCCGAAAGGUUGUAAAGUUCUUUUGCUAGGGGAGAAUAAGUGAGGGAGGGAAUGCCCUCAUGAUGACAAGGACUAGCGAAUAAGCCCCGGCCAACUACGUG